GACGAACGCUGGCGGCGUGCUUAACACAUGCAAGUCGAACGGAAAGGCCCUGCUUGCAGGGUACUCGAGUGGCGAACGGGUGUGUAACACGUGGGUGAUCUGCCCUGCACAUCGGGAUAAGCCUGGGAAACUGGGGCUAAAACCGGAUAGGAGCCCUUCUUCGGGUGGUGGUUGGAAAGUUUUUUCGGGUUGGGGUGAGCUCGCGGCCUGUCUGCUUGUUGGUGGGGUAAUUGCCUACCUAGGCAGGGACGGGUAGCCGGCCCGGGAGGGUGGACGGCCACAAUGGGACUGGGAUACGGCCCAGACCCCCACGGGGGGCAGCAGGGGGGAAUAUUGGACAAUGGGGGCGAGCCCGAUGCAGCGACGCCGCGGGGGGGAUGACGGGCUUCGGGUUGGAAACCCGUUUCGCUAGGGACGAAGCUUUGUGUGACGGUACCGAGAUAAGAAGCACCGGCUAACUACGUG
Molecule: ribosomal RNA, 465 nt
Filed under: uncultured bacterium
Lineage: Bacteria
Description: partial 16S ribosomal RNA
Rfam family: Bacterial small subunit ribosomal RNA
Source: RNAcentral